This 454-nucleotide long non-coding RNA is filed under the name Fukomys damarensis (Damara mole-rat). Its description in RNAcentral is "lncRNA (ENSFDAG00000024602.1)". The record is from RNAcentral. Lineage: Eukaryota; Metazoa; Chordata; Mammalia; Rodentia; Bathyergidae.
CUUGGUGUUUGGUGAGACUCUGCUUUCUGGUCUCUGUGCUGCUGAGGGACGCGGGAGCUCACAGGGCCUCCCGUAAGGACACCGAUCCCACUCUGCGUGCCUCUACUUCUUGACCUCCACAGCUCCUCAUAGCAUCACCUCGGGGGCCAGGAGGGUGGCACGUGCGCGUGGCAUUCAAGCCAUGGCAAGGAGUUCUGGGACUUACUCUACGAUCGUGCUGUUCAGUAAGGCACCUACUAACCAUCUUUCUAAUGGGGCUAUCAGAACAUUGAGACUUAGGUAAGUGGCUCAUAUUAUAUUUCUAUUGAAAAGUGCUGGGCUAGGCCUUGUGGUUUAGAUGUCAUAAAUGUCUUCUGCCAUUCUGUCCCCUUCUUUAUUCGUGGUGUCUUUAUUCAUGUAGUCACAUUUGCUGAUUCAUUUUGCUUAGAGCUUAUGCUUCUAAAAAGACUUUUUC